AUUGAACGCUGGCGGAAUGCUUUACACAUGCAAGUCGAACGGCAGCACGGACUUCGGUCUGGUGGCGAGUGGCGAACGGGUGAGUAAUGUAUCGGAACGUGCCCAGUCGUGGGGGAUAACGUAGUGAAAAUUACGCUAAUACCGCAUACGAUCUAUGGAUGAAAGCGGGGGAUCGCAAGACCUCGCGCGAUUGGAGCGGCCGAUAUCAGAUUAGGUAGUUGGUGGGGUAAAGGCCCACCAAGCCAACGAUCUGUAGCUGGUCUGAGAGGACGACCGGCCACACUGGAACGUAGGCACGGCCCAGACUCCUACGGGGGGCAGCAGUGGGGAGUUUUGGACAAUGGGCGAAAGCCUGAUCCAGCCAUUCCGCGUGCAGGAUGAAGGCCCUCGGGUUGUAAACUGCUUUUGUACAGAACGAAAAGGUUUCUACUAAUACUAGGAGCUCAUGACGGUACUGUAAGAAUAAGCACCGGCUAACUACGUGCCAGCCGCCGCCGUAA
Molecule: ribosomal RNA, 500 nt
Filed under: uncultured bacterium
Lineage: Bacteria
Description: partial 16S ribosomal RNA
Rfam family: Bacterial small subunit ribosomal RNA
Source: RNAcentral